Meleagris gallopavo (turkey) is the source of this 1642-nucleotide non-coding RNA. NCBI's taxonomy places the organism in Eukaryota, Metazoa, Chordata, Aves, Galliformes, Phasianidae. The record is from RefSeq and is a predicted model, not a curated record.
UCUACCCAAGAACAAAAUUUACUCUCUCUGCUGCCUUCACUCACCUUUGGAAGCAAUUAUGCCAUUUGGCAGUCAUCAAUCUGACCAGAGUCAGAAGACAUGCUUCUGUCCUGACAACUCCCAAAAGGAAAACUCGACUGAUAUAUCAGAUUGUGUUGUACCUACAUUUGGCAGGGAGUCUCCUUUCCUAAGAUUUUAAUGGGAACACACCUUUGGGUUCUCCUUCUCUGAGAAGCUUGGAUGGGAUGUAUAUAUCCCUAUUUAGAGCAAAGAUUUGCUGGAGAAAUAAAAGCUAGGCAGAGAAGGGGGAAGAGAGCAGAGUGCUACAUGGAGACAAGAGAACACUGAAACAGAAAGAGAAGCAGAGGACAAGGAGGCCUGAGAUCAUGAGAGAAAGGAGAGAGAAGCAAUAAAUGAAGGUCAAAAAUCAGUUGGAAGAUGGAUUUCAACUCUCAGUACAGCCUGAAGGAUGCUGUGAGGCAAUGACAGCUCAUCUGACUGAGUGAGGUGGAAAGAAGGGAAAAAUUAUCUGUUUGGAUGUGGGAAGAAGGGAAGGAAAAUGGACAAGUGGAAAGAUUUUACUUGUUGGAAGGGGAAAACAUUCAGAGCUGGCUGAGCAAGGUGAUGGAACAGGGAACUGGGACCUGAAAAGGCUGAGGGACUGGGAAACAUCUGGCAGGAGAAAAAGAGCAAGGAUGCAGUAGUGGAGGGGCUGCACAGCAAAAGUGACAAACUUGAAAGAAUCAUGGAACUGAAAAGAGCACCAUUCAGACAUCAGAGACAUCCAGUGUUAGAGAUAUUAGAGGGAAGAACAGAACUGGUUGGCAAGGCAGCCACAGAUAUGUAUUUAAUUAACAUAGACUGCAGUCCUAUCCUUGCCACAGAAUGAAUAUUUGGUUAUUAUGGACCCUGCUGUUGUUUGUGCAGAGGUCUCACUUCUCUUUUCUUUUAUUCUAGUUAAAUAAAUUGAGAAUUACGUGUAAUUACUGAGAGAAAAUAACUACUAUAAAAAUAGAAAGAAAUUAAAUAAAGACAAUCUGUUUUGCCUAGACAAUGUUUUGCAUUUCAGAGCUGGUUGCUCUGGAAACUUUAAAAGAUACCUUCUCACCCUGAAAUGAGAAAUGAGCUGAUUUAUGAAACCAUGCCAUCAAGUAAUUCAAGCAGACAGUGAGCGACCUCAGCAAACUGGACAAAAAGUGAACAGAUUACUGGAAUUGUCUCAAUAUUAGGGCCAUACCUGUCCUCCAGGGGCAGUUCUACAGUACUUGUUUUAUAUCAUACUUAACAUUUUCCUCCUAUGCAAGUUUUUUCUAGUCAGAAAAAAAAGAUUCUCUCAACAGCUUCUUGAUGUGGUCUUAUUUCAAAAUCUUUCACAAUCACGUUGAGAAUUUCCUGCACAAUACUAACUAUAGUUAAUUCCAUGUUUGAGAAUACAACAGAGCAUUAGUUUUACACUGAUACUUAUGAGUGUUUAUACAUAUUUCUAAGGAGCAUCAACCAAAGCUGUGUUUCUGGUGCACACCUUCAAUUCUUGUGGAACUGGAAAACAGAAUGAUUCCUCAUUUAGCUCUAGUGCAUCUAUGAGAGUUACAUCAAAGAAGAUAGAUUUUGUGUAUUUUGUUUUCAGUCAUGGACACUAAAA